Molecule: long non-coding RNA, 404 nt
Filed under: Helianthus annuus (common sunflower)
Lineage: Eukaryota; Viridiplantae; Streptophyta; Magnoliopsida; Asterales; Asteraceae
Source: RNAcentral
GGAAAAGGAAGUGAAGCCUGUUAAAAAACCCGCUGAAUCUGCACCCAAGUCACCUGCUUCUGCUAAGAAAGGAAAACCAAACACUCCACAAAAUGCUAAAUCGAACACUCCUCAAAAAUCAGGGGGAAAGAAAGGUGGUCAAGCAGUAACGCCACAAGCGAAUUCAAAACCGAGCAUGAAGAAGGGCAAGAAAGGUGGCAACCGAUCAUAGAUUUAAGUUGUUUUGGUGAUGGGUUUGGGGGUAUACUAAGUUUGGUGUUGGCCAGUUUUGAUUUAUAUCUUUUGAAAUGAUUAUGUAAUUUUUUGGUUUGACAAGAUCAUUGAAACAUUGUUUUCUAGGGAAAGUUCUAUUCAUGUGUUUAAACUUUAAAUCGUUAAUUUGUUACAACAUGGGAAACCAAACA